This 459-nucleotide ribosomal RNA is filed under the name uncultured bacterium. Its description in RNAcentral is "partial 16S ribosomal RNA". It matches the Rfam family "Bacterial small subunit ribosomal RNA", at positions 338 to 795 of the family's 1533-position model. The record is from RNAcentral.
CCUACGGGUGGCAGCAGUGAGGAAUAUUGGUCAAUGGACGAGAGUCUGAACCAGCCAAGUAGCGUGAAGGAUGACUGCCCUAUGGGUUGUAAACUUCUUUUGUGCGGGAGCAAUAAUGGUCACGUGUAGCAUGAUGCCUGUACCUUAUGAAUAAGCAUCGGCUAACUCCGUGCCAGCAGCCGCGGUAAUACGGAGGAUGCGAGCGUUAUCCGGAUUUAUUGGGUUUAAAGGGUGCGUAGGCGGUUUUUUAAGUUAGUGGUUAAACGUCGGGGCUUCACCUUGAUUUGCCAUUAAUACUGUAAGACUCGAGUUCAGACGAGGUAGGCGGAAUAAGUUAAGUAGCGGUGAAAUGCUUAGAUAUAACUUAGAACUCCGAUAGCGAAGGCAGCUUACCAGACUGCGACUGACGCUGAAGCACGAGAGCGUGGGUAGCGAACAGGAUUAGAUACCCGAGUAGUC